ACACAGGGACUUUCCAAUUAUCCAGCAAUGGUACUGUUCCUUUACCCUCUCUUCGAUUUUGAGAAAGUAGUCAUGUUGGGAGUCUGGCUCUCGAGAUUCAGAGGACGGUGCCUCUUCGAUUUUGGAGCAAGCAAUCUUGUUGGGAGUGUUUUCUCGAAUGUGAGUAAAGGUUGGGCAUGUUUGCUAGUCUACCUUGCCACGAAGCACAGAGGUUGACACACAGGGACUUUCCAAUUAUCCAGCAGUGGUACUGUUCCUUUACCCUUGUGGGUAAUAAUAUGGUAGCUAGACCUUCAAAAUUUAUGUGUCUAAACUUUGUUAGUGCUGUUUCUUUGCUAUUCUUUUACCUUUCUUGGUCAGAGCGAUGUAGUGGGAGCUGCAAGCUUCACGUGCUCAACUUUGGCAGAGAACUUUGACAAAGUUAUCUGUGGUACCCAUAAGCUAUUGUUGCGUGUGGGAAGUGGGUAAUUGAACAGUAAGAUUCAUGUGCUUUCUACUUCACCAGAAAUCUUCGACAGAAUGCCCAUAAUUUCUGCAAAGCUGAGUGUGCGUGUGACAGGUGCUGACAAGGCUAGAAAAGUAGGUGCCUCUUCGAUUUCUGAGAUCGGCCCUCGUGGUCUCUGAGCAGCCCAGCUUUUGAGAAAGCGAGCGCCUCUUCGAUUGAUUCGGAGAACGAUGCCUCAUCGAUUUUUGAGAAAACAAUCAUGCUGGGGGUUUGGCUCUCGAAGAUUCGGGGAGCAGUGUCUCUUCGAUUUUUGAGAAAGUAAUCAUGUUGGGAGUCUGGCUCUCGAGAUUCGGAAGGCGGUGCCUCUUCGAUUUUGGAGCAAGCAAUCUUGUUGGGAGUGUUUUCUCGAAUGUGAGUAAAGGUUGGGCAUGUUUGCUAGUCUACCUUGCCACGAAGCACAGAGGUUGACACACAGGGACUUUCCAAUUAUCCAGCAAUGGUACUGUUCCUUUACCCUCUCUUCGAUUUUUAAUAAAGUAGUCAUGUUGGGAGUCUGGCUCUCGAGAUUCGGAGGACGGUGCCUCUUCGAUUUUUGGAGCAAGCAAUCUUAUUGGGAGUGUUUUUCUCGAAUGUGAGUAAAGAUUGGGCAUGUUUGCUAGUCUACCUUGCCACGAAGCACAGAGGUUGACACACAGGGACUUUCCAAUUAUCCAGCAGUGGUACUGUUCCUUUACCCUUGUGGGUAAUAAUAUGGUAGCUAGACCUUCAAAAUUUAUGGGUCUAAACUUUGUUAGUGCUGUUUCUUUGCUAUUCU
RNAcentral lists this long non-coding RNA (1259 nucleotides) under Malus domestica (apple). Its description in RNAcentral is "long non-coding RNA (MDOM_LNC020386)". Lineage: Eukaryota; Viridiplantae; Streptophyta; Magnoliopsida; Rosales; Rosaceae. The record is from RNAcentral.